UGGGGAAUAUUGGACAAUGGGCGCAAGCCUGAUCCAGCCAUACCGCGUGGGUGAAGAAGGCCUUCGGGUUGUAAAGCCCUUUUGUUGGGAAAGAAAAGCGCCUGGCUAAUACCUGGGUGUUCUGACGGUACCCAAAGAAUAAGCACCGGCUAACUUCGUGCCAGCAGCCGCGGUAAUACGAAGGGUGCAAGCGUUACUCGGAAUUACUGGGCGUAAAGCGUGCGUAGGUGGUGGUUUAAGUCUGCUGUGAAAGCCCUGGGCUCAACCUGGGAAUUGCAGUGGAUACUGGGUCACUAGAGUGUGGUAGAGGGAUGCGGAAUUUCUGGUGUAGCAGUGAAAUGCGUAGAGAUCAGAAGGAACAUCCGUGGCGAAGGCGGCAUCCUGGGCCAACACUGACACUGAGGCACGAAAGCGUGGGGAGCAAACAGG
Molecule: ribosomal RNA, 429 nt
Filed under: uncultured Pseudoxanthomonas sp.
Lineage: Bacteria; Pseudomonadati; Pseudomonadota; Gammaproteobacteria; Lysobacterales; Lysobacteraceae
Description: bacterial SSU rRNA
Rfam family: Bacterial small subunit ribosomal RNA
Source: RNAcentral